This 219-nucleotide non-coding RNA is filed under the name Aneurinibacillus migulanus. The record is from RNAcentral. Lineage: Bacteria; Bacillati; Bacillota; Bacilli; Caryophanales; Paenibacillaceae.
UGUAUAUUUAAGCUUUGCGGUGCUUGAAGUUCUGGCAUUUUGCAGUACGUCAGAAUGGAAGGCAUAAUAGGGAAGUCGGUGCAAGUCCGACGCGGUCCCGCCACUGUAAAGAGAAGAACCUUGCCGGUGCUAUGCCCACUGUUUCGCCUGUGAAACGGGAAGGGUGGACAAGGUUUGCUUACUCUAAGCCAGGAGACCUGCCGUGAAGAGCAACACUGU